GACGAAGGGGGCUAGCGUUGUUCGGAAUUACUGGGCGUAAAGCGCGCGUAGGCGGCUCUUCAAGUCAGGCGUGAAAGCCCCGGGCUUAACCCGGGAAUAGCGCUCGAUACUGUUGGGCUUGAGUCCGGGAGAGGAUAGUGGAAUUCCCAGUGUAGAGGUGAAAUUCGUAGAUAUUGGGAAGAACACCAGUGGCGAAGGCGGCUAUCUGGACCGGAACUGACGCUGAGGCGCGAAAGCGUGGGGAGCAAACAGG
RNAcentral lists this ribosomal RNA (253 nucleotides) under uncultured bacterium. RNAcentral describes it as "partial 16S ribosomal RNA". It matches the Rfam family "Bacterial small subunit ribosomal RNA", at positions 524 to 776 of the family's 1533-position model. The record is from RNAcentral.